AACGAACGCUGGCGGCAUGCUUAACACAUGCAAGUUGAACGCAGAAUAGAACUUCGGUUCUAUUGCUGAGUAGCAGACGGGUGAGUAACGCGUGGGAAUCUACCUUCUUGUGAGGAAUAACUGAGGGAAACUUCAGCUAAUACCGCAUAGGCUCGACGGAGGAAAGGCUUCGGCCGCAGGAAGAGGAGCCCGAGACCGAUCAGGUAGUUGGUGGGGGAAAGGGCUACCAAGCCAAUGAUCUGUAGCUGGUCUGAGAGGAUGAACAGCGACUCUGGGACUGAGACACGGCCCAGACUCCUACGGGAGGCAGCAGUGGGGAAUAUUGGACAAUGGGGGAAACCCUGAUCCAGCAAUGCCGCGUGAAUGAAGAAGGCCUUAGGGUUGUAAAGUUCUUUCACCUGUGAAGAUAAUGACGGUAGCAGGAGAAGAAGCCCCGGCUAACUCCGUGCCAGCAGCCGCCGUAA
This 464-nucleotide ribosomal RNA is filed under the name uncultured bacterium. RNAcentral describes it as "partial 16S ribosomal RNA". It matches the Rfam family "Bacterial small subunit ribosomal RNA", at positions 29 to 523 of the family's 1533-position model. The record is from RNAcentral.